AAGUAGAGGUUGCGUCAAUCAUCAGUAAUCCGGCCGUAUGUGACAGGCACAGGGGAGGGCCGGAAGAAAGGGAACGACGCCGAAGAGGGCAGGUAUCCUGUAAGCAGACCCUCUGGGCAUAGGAUUAAGAAUCCUGUGACUGUCAUCCCGGUGGAUGGAGAGCUACA
RNAcentral lists this non-coding RNA (167 nucleotides) under uncultured Enterocloster sp. RNAcentral describes it as "Lysine riboswitch". It matches the Rfam family "Lysine riboswitch aptamer". From Rfam's summary of the family: Riboswitches are metabolite binding domains within certain messenger RNAs that serve as precision sensors for their corresponding targets. The record is from RNAcentral. Lineage: Bacteria; Bacillati; Bacillota; Clostridia; Lachnospirales; Lachnospiraceae.